AUUGAACGCUGGCGGCAUGCCUUACACAUGCAAGUCGAACGGCAGCACGGGGGCGAACCCUGGUGGCGAGUGGCGAACGGGUGAGUAAUGCAUCGGAACGUGCCCAGUAGUGGGGGAGUAACUAGUCGAAAGAUUAGCUAAUACCGCAUACGACCUAUGGGUGAAAGCGGGGAGUUCGCAAGAACCUCGCGCUAUCGGAGCGGCCGAUGUCUGAUUAGCUAGUUGGCGGGGUAAAAGGACCCACCAAGGCUUCGAUCAGUAGCUGGUCUGAGAGGACGACCAGCCACACUGGGAC
This 295-nucleotide ribosomal RNA is filed under the name uncultured bacterium. RNAcentral describes it as "partial 16S ribosomal RNA". It matches the Rfam family "Bacterial small subunit ribosomal RNA", at positions 30 to 319 of the family's 1533-position model. The record is from RNAcentral.